Molecule: ribosomal RNA, 643 nt
Filed under: uncultured euryarchaeote
Lineage: Archaea; Methanobacteriati; Methanobacteriota
Description: bacterial SSU rRNA
Rfam family: Archaeal small subunit ribosomal RNA
Source: RNAcentral
UUCCGGUUGAUCCUGCCGGAGGCGACCGCUAUUGGAGUUCGAUUAAGCCAUGCGAGUAGAAAGAAAUUAGAUUCUUUGCAUACUGCUCAGUAACACGUGGAUAACCUGCCCUACACUGGGGGAUAAACUCGGGAAACUGAGUAUAAUACCCCAUAGACCACUACGCCUGGAACGGUGAGUGGUUGAAAGCUCAGGCGGUGUAGGAUGGGUCUGCGGCGUAUCAGGUCGUAGGGGGUGUAAUGGACCUCCUAGCCAUCGACGCGUACGGGUUGUGGGAGCAAUAGCCCGGAGACGGAUUCUGAGACACGAAUCCGGACCCUACGGGGUGCAGCAGGCGCGAAAACUUCACACUGCAGGAAACUGUGAUGAGGGAACUCCAAGUGACUGCCCAAUGGGUAGCCUUUUCUUGAAUCUUAAUAGUUCUUGGAGUAAGGGCUGGGAAAGACCGGUGCCAGCCGCCGCGGUAAUACCGGCAGCUCAAGUGGUCGUCGCUUUUAUUGGGCCUAAAACGUCCGUAGCCUGUUUGGUAAAUCUGUGGGUAAAUCAACGAGCUUAACUCGUUGAAUUCUGCAGAGACUGCCAGACUAGGGACCGGGAGAGGUAUGAGGUACUCUGGGGGUAGGGGUAAAAUCCUGUCAUCCUC